RNAcentral lists this unclassified non-coding RNA (289 nucleotides) under uncultured fungus. RNAcentral describes it as "partial contains small subunit ribosomal RNA, internal transcribed spacer 1, and 5.8S ribosomal RNA". The stretch from base 1 to 73 matches the Rfam family "Eukaryotic small subunit ribosomal RNA", at positions 1759 to 1831 of the family's 1831-position model. The record is from RNAcentral. Lineage: Eukaryota; Fungi.
ACAAACUUGGUCAUUUAGAGGAAGUAAAAGUCGUAACAAGGUUUCCGUAGGUGAACCUGCGGAAGGAUCAUUCAUAAUAAAAGUGUUUUAUGGCACUUUUCAAACAAUCCAUAUCCACCUUGUGUGCAAUGUUUAAUUGGGAAUUUGUUUUCCCUAUUAUAACUUUAUCAACUCUUUUAUCUUUAAAUGCCAAUUUGUCUUAAAAAACUUAUAUUAUGUGAAUAACUUAAUUCAAAAUAUAACUUUCAACAACGGAUCUCUUGGCUCUCGCAUCGAUGAAGAACGCAGC